RNAcentral lists this transfer RNA (61 nucleotides) under Philodromus sp. Its description in RNAcentral is "tRNA-Asn". Lineage: Eukaryota; Metazoa; Arthropoda; Arachnida; Araneae; Philodromidae. The record is from RNAcentral.
UUAGAUAGGAGCUGAAUAGCAUUUUCAUUGUUAAUGAAAGGAUGAGUUAAAGCGAGGUAAA